Molecule: ribosomal RNA, 442 nt
Filed under: uncultured bacterium
Lineage: Bacteria
Description: partial 16S ribosomal RNA
Rfam family: Bacterial small subunit ribosomal RNA
Source: RNAcentral
CCUACGGGAGGCAGCAGUGGGGAAUAUUGGGCAAUGGGCGCAAGCCUGACCCAGCAAUGCCGCGUGAAGGAAGAAGGCUUUCGGGUUGUAAACUUCUUUGACAGGGGAAGAGCAGAAGACGGUACCCUGAAAACAAGCCACGGCUAACGACGUGCCAGCAGCCGCGGUAAUACGUAGGUGGCAAGCGUUGUCCGGAGUUACUGGGGGUAAAGGGCGUGUAGCCGGGAAGGCAAGUCAGAUGUGAAAUCUGGAGGCGCAACCUCCAAAUUGCAUUUGAAACUGUUUUUCUUGAGUACUGGAGAGGCAGCCCGAAUUCCUUGUGUCGCGGUUAAAUGCGUAGAUAUAAGGCGGAACACCAGUGGCGAAGGCGGUCUGCUGGACAGCACCUGACGGUGAGGCGCGAAAGCGUGGGGAGCAAACAGGAUUAGAUACCCCAGUAGUC